This 253-nucleotide ribosomal RNA is filed under the name uncultured bacterium. RNAcentral describes it as "partial 16S ribosomal RNA". It matches the Rfam family "Bacterial small subunit ribosomal RNA", at positions 524 to 776 of the family's 1533-position model. The record is from RNAcentral.
UACGGAGGGAGCUAGCGUUGUUCGGAUAUACUGGGCGUAAAGCGCACGUAGGCGGCGCCGUAAGUCAGGGGUGAAAUCCCGGAGCUCAACUCCGGAACUGCCCUUGAAACUGCAGUGCUAGAAUCUUGGAGAGGCGAGUGGAAUUCCGAGUGUAGAGGUGAAAUUCGUAGGUAUUCGGAAGAACACCAGUGGCGAAGGCGACUCGCUGGACAAGUAUUGACGCUGAGGUGCGAAAGCGUGGGGAGCAAACAGG